Molecule: non-coding RNA, 149 nt
Filed under: Chlorocebus sabaeus (green monkey)
Lineage: Eukaryota; Metazoa; Chordata; Mammalia; Primates; Cercopithecidae
Source: Rfam by way of RNAcentral
GCUGGGCAUUGGUGGUGCAUGCCUGUAGUCCCAGCUACUUUGGAGGCUGAGGUGGGAGGAUCACUUGAGCCUAAGAGGUCAAGGCUGCAGUGAGCCAUGAUCAUGCCACUGCACUUCAGCCUGGGCAACAGAGUGAGAUCCUGUCUCAA